CACUCUAAAAUUGAGCAGCAGUUUUUUAUCUAGAUUGAACUAACCUCAACAUGAGAGCAGAAGCAUCCUAUGGUUAAGGCAGACUUGAUAGUUAUAAAG
Melanotaenia boesemani (Boeseman's rainbowfish) is the source of this 99-nucleotide long non-coding RNA. RefSeq lists it as uncharacterized. The transcript is spliced from 3 exons. NCBI's taxonomy places the organism in Eukaryota, Metazoa, Chordata, Actinopteri, Atheriniformes, Melanotaeniidae. The record is from RefSeq and is a predicted model, not a curated record.